CUUACCGGAAAUAAUGGCAUAUUGGCAAUUAUGGGUGUUUGGGAGGUAUGUAUAAUUCUUCCUGGUUAAAUCCGUUAUUAUGCAAUUAUCAGUCAUGGCAUUCAAAGAUAUGAUUUUUCUUUUUCUUUUUUCUGGAGAUUAAUAAUUUGGAUCAUUUUCUCCCUACUCAUUGGAGGUCCCAUAAUAACAUAGGUACAUUUGUACAUCUCCACCAUAUUUAUGAUUUGUACAAUAUGGAGGAAAACCAAAGAAUAGUUACGCUACCCCUAUUGAAUUCAGAUCAUGAAGCCUUGCGGUAUCUUAAUUCACAAAAAAAAAAUGUUUAGCCAUAGGCAUGCAAAAUAGGUGGCGUUCCCACAACAUUAUAUGUUUUCCAUGCGGCAUAAAGCUGGAUUGCAAAAUAAGGUAGCAGCUGCUUUAAGUAGGAGGGUUUAUUUGCUAAACACCGUGUCUAAUACUGUUGUUGGGCUAGAGGUGGUGAAGACAAUACAAUGAGAAGAUCCUUAUUUUAAGGAAUUGCUUGAGAAACAUGCAGCCCAAGACAGCAAGACAAGGGCAGAAUUUAUUGUAACUGAUGGUUUUCGUUCAAAGGAGAUAAGUUCUGUAUACCUGAAGGUUCCUUGAGGUAGACGUUGAUUGCUGAGCUGCAUGGAGGUGGCCUUGGAGGUCAUUUUGGCAGGGAUAAAACGCUAAGUUUAGUGGCAGAAAAGUACUUUUGGCCAACUAUAAGACGCAAUGUGUAUCGACAUGUGGAAAGGUGCCAUAUUUGUCAAGUUUCAAAAAGGCAGCAGCAAAAUAUUGGCCUCUGUACUCCUCUACGAAUUCGUACUUCUCCAUGGGAGGAAGUGAGCAUGGAUUUUGUUUUGGGUUUGCCUCGGACAGCAAGGGGAAGUGGUUAGACUACAUGGUGUUCCCAAGAUUUUCACCUCCAAUCGAGAUACAAAGUUUCUUGGCCAUUUUUGGAGAACUUUGUGGAAAUUGCUGGCAACGAAGUUGCAAUACAGCAGUGCUUAUCACCCUCAAACAGACGGUAAGGUAGUGAAUUGUUGUUCGGGAAAUUUGUCCGAUGCCUUGCGAAGGACAACAUUCGGCAAGGGGACUUCUCCUCUUACUCUUAAAGCAGCGCAGCUCCCAACAUGACUUUGUUCAUAGUAGACUGUACAGUGAGUCCUUAUCCCAAGAACCUCUGUCAGGUACUUACUUUAGCUAUAUGGAUCAGGGGUUGCAUUAAGCAUGGAUUCAAUCCUCAGGCAAUCUAUCAUCCACCGUUUUAUAUAUGAUCGGUCUACGAUCCGCUUCUAUUGCGGACA
This is a long non-coding RNA of Rhododendron vialii, 1310 nucleotides long. RefSeq lists it as uncharacterized. The transcript is spliced from 2 exons. The record is from RefSeq and is a predicted model, not a curated record. Lineage: Eukaryota; Viridiplantae; Streptophyta; Magnoliopsida; Ericales; Ericaceae.